GGGUAUCUCCUGGGGUAAAGCUUAGGGUUCACUUCACGCUAAACCACCACGUGAAGGGAAACUCAGCCAACGCCAAGGAACGGCUGUAUUUUUCUCAAACUAAAAAUAUAUUUUAAGUGUAUACAAAAUUUUAACAGCCUUGGCGGACUCGGUUGGAUGCCCUGCGCAAAGUAUCACCGAGUAUGAGUUUUGACACGAGCCAAAGUUUUAAGAAAUUCAUAAGCCAAGUUGAUUACUCGAUUUAUAUGGAUUGAUUUUAUUUGGUUGAAAUGAACUGAAAGGUAAUGAAAUUAUAGUAUGAUGACUUGUUUUAAUUGUCUCCAUUUACUCGGCUUUAGAUACUUUUGAUGGUAUCUGUUUACUCAUUGGGAUUAUAAAAUCUCACCCCUUCUUCCUAUACAUUUUUCAAGCUCAGGACAGUUUGUAGAUAGUCGAGUAAGACGAGAACUAAGCUCGGAACUGCAUUAUAGAAAGUAAGAGUUCACAAUCUUACAUCCUCUUGGUCAAUUGGGACCCACGUGUUGUUGCAUAUCAAAACUUAUAUUUUGGUUAUCUGUAUUUCUAUUCAUACAAUUUUUACUUUACUUUCAUGUGCAAAAAAUUAUUUACGAAUAUUUCUAUAAAAAUUUAUUUUAUGAGAAAAUAGAAUAUUUUAUUGAUUAUUUUUGAAUAGUACUAG
RNAcentral lists this long non-coding RNA (679 nucleotides) under Theobroma cacao (cacao). RNAcentral's name for it is "long non-coding RNA (TCAC_LNC004497)". The record is from RNAcentral. Lineage: Eukaryota; Viridiplantae; Streptophyta; Magnoliopsida; Malvales; Malvaceae.